This 497-nucleotide ribosomal RNA is filed under the name uncultured bacterium. RNAcentral's name for it is "partial 16S ribosomal RNA". It matches the Rfam family "Bacterial small subunit ribosomal RNA", at positions 28 to 507 of the family's 1533-position model. The record is from RNAcentral.
GAUGAACGCUGGCGGCGUGCCUAAUACAUGCAAGUCGAGCGAACAGACGAGGAGCUUGCUCCUCUGACGUUAGCGGCGGACGGGUGAGUAACACGUGGAUAACCUACCUAUAAGACUGGGAUAACUUCGGGAAACCGGAGCUAAUACCGGAUAAUAUAUUGAACCGCAUGGUUCAAUAGUGAAAGACGGUUUUGCUGUCACUUAUAGAUGGAUCCGCGCCGCAUUAGCUAGUUGGUAAGGUAACGGCUUACCAAGGCGACGAUGCGUAGCCGACCUGAGAGGGUGAUCGGCCACACUGGAACUGAGACACGGUCCAGACUCCUACGGGGGGCAGCAGUAGGGAAUCUUCCGCGAAGGGCGAAAGCCUGACGGAGCAACGCCGCGUGAGUGAUGAAGGUCUUCGGAUCGUAAAACUCUGUUAUUAGGGAAGAACAAAUGUGUAAGUAACUAUGCACGUCUUGACGGUACCUAAUCAGAAAGCCACGGCUAACUACGUG